CUCAAAGUACAGAAAGUAUUUCUACUUCAGUUUUUUUUUAACACACGUGUAAGUCUGUACCACAACUUAAGUACAGUCGAUGAGUACUUUUGCCACCUCCGCUCACAAAAGUAUAUUUCCAAACUGCACCUUUUUACUUUUACUUACCGUAAUUAAAGAAGUGUUUGUUUUUUUUUAACCGAAGAAUGUGUGCUUCUACUUAGGUAAAGAAAGUAACUGCUAUUGCCAUCUCUGCUUGAUGUCAUUUGUGGACUUUGUUACGGAAAUACAUUUCAGAGUCUGUGCUUUUUUUUUUUUUUUUUUACACUUAUGUAAAGGAGACAAAUCAGUACAUCUCCUUUUACCAGAGUCUUUUUUUAACACAGGUAUCUAUCUGUGUGAGUACUUGUGCCACCUCUGCUCGCAGUGGGGAAACAACAUGUGCUUUGAGUGAGCUUCUUUCACAACAUUGUGAAAUACCUGAGUUGUGUGGUUGGUAUCUUCCAUGACCAAGGAGUGUGUGCAGUGAUAUCAAGAGGAAAAGUCAUGCUCUGCCCGCUUGGUCCAUUCCGCACCUUGGCUCCUCAUCCACCCAGAUGAGAUGUUACAUAAGAGCCGACAUUGGAUGCAAGCAAUGGAGGCCGACACCCCUGACAAGCCGACUUGGGAAAGAAUCAUUCAUCCGUCCAUUGUCUGAGCCGCUGAUCCUCACGAGGGUUGCGGGUGUGCUGGAGCCGAUCCUAGCCAUCUGCGGGCACUGAGCGGGGGGACAACCUAACUGGUUUCCAGCCAAUCGCAAGAGACGCGUAGACCAACAACC
Molecule: long non-coding RNA, 799 nt
Organism: Hippocampus comes (tiger tail seahorse)
Lineage: Eukaryota; Metazoa; Chordata; Actinopteri; Syngnathiformes; Syngnathidae
Exons: 3
Source: RefSeq, a predicted model, not a curated record